This 253-nucleotide unclassified non-coding RNA is filed under the name uncultured Alphaproteobacteria bacterium. RNAcentral's name for it is "contains 16S-23S intergenic spacer region". It matches the Rfam family "Bacterial small subunit ribosomal RNA", at positions 524 to 776 of the family's 1533-position model. Lineage: Bacteria; Pseudomonadati; Pseudomonadota; Alphaproteobacteria. The record is from RNAcentral.
UACGAAGGGGGCUAGCGUUGUUCGGAAUUACUGGGCGUAAAGCGCGCGCAGGCGGUUUCUUAAGUCAGGGGUGAAAGCCCAGAGCUCAACUCUGGAAUUGCCUCUGAAACUAGGGAACUUGGGUACGGGAGAGGUGAGUGGAAUUCCGAGUGUAGAGGUGAAAUUCGUAGAUAUUCGGAAGAACACCAGUGGCGAAGGCGGCUCACUGGCCCGUUACCGACGCUCAGGCGCGACAGCGUGGGGAGCAAACAGG